This 471-nucleotide ribosomal RNA is filed under the name uncultured bacterium. Its description in RNAcentral is "bacterial SSU rRNA". It matches the Rfam family "Bacterial small subunit ribosomal RNA", at positions 338 to 793 of the family's 1533-position model. The record is from RNAcentral.
CCUACGGGAGGACAGCAGUGGGGAACUAUUGCACAAUGGGCGCAAGCCUGAUGCAGCCAUGCCGCGUGUAUGAAGAAGGCCUUCGGGUUNUAAAGUACUUUCAGCAGUGAGGAAGGUGGGUAUCGUUAAUAGCAUACUCUAUUUCGACGUUUAGACUGCAGAAGAAGCACCGGCUAACUCCGUGCCAGCAGCCGCGGUAAUACGGAGGGUGCGAGCGUUAAUCCGGAAUUACUGGGCGUAAAGCGCAUGCAGGUGGUUUGUUAAGUCAGAUGUGAAAGCCCGGGGCUCAACCUCGGAAUUGCAUUUGAAACUGGACAAACUAGAGUACUGUAGAGGGGGUAGAAUUUCAGGUGUAGCGGUGAAAUGCGUAGAGAUCUGAAGGAAUACCGGUGGCGAAGGCGGCCCCCUGGACAGAUACUGACACUCAGAUGCGAAAGCGUGGGGAGCAAACAGGAUUAGAUACCCUGGUAG